UACGUAGGGGGCAAGCGUUGUCCGGAUUUAUUGGGCGUAAAGAGCGUGUAGGCGGCCAAGCAGGUCCGCUGUGAAAACUCGAGGCUCAACCUCGAGAGGUCGGUGGAAACCGUUUGGCUAGAGUCCGGAAGAGGAGAGUGGAAUUCCCGGUGUAGCGGUGAAAUGCGCAGAUAUCGGGAAGAACACCAGUGGCGAAGGCGGGACUCUGGGCCGAUACUGACGCUGAGGAGCGAAAGCGUGGGGAGCGAACAGG
Molecule: ribosomal RNA, 253 nt
Filed under: uncultured bacterium
Lineage: Bacteria
Description: partial 16S ribosomal RNA
Rfam family: Bacterial small subunit ribosomal RNA
Source: RNAcentral